GGGUUGUGAGGUUAAGCGACUAAGCGUACACGGUGGAUGCCCUGGCAGUCAGAGGCGAUGAAGGACGUGCUAAUCUGCGAUAAGCGUCGGUAAGGUGAUAUGAACCGUUAUAACCGGCGAUUUCCGAAUGGGGAAACCCAGUGCAAUUCGUUGCACUAUCGUUAAGUGAAUACAUAGCUUAACGAAGCGAACCGGGGGAACUGAAACAUCUAAGUACCCCGAGGAAAAGAAAUCAACCGAGAUUCCCCCAGUAGCGGCGAGCGAACGGGGAGGAGCCCAGAGUCUGAAUCAGCGCGUGUGUUAGUGGAACGGUCUGGAAAGUCCGGCGGUACAGGGUGAUAGCCCCGUACACUAAAAUGCACACGUUGUGAACUCGAAGAGUAGGGCGGGACACGUGGUAUCCUGUCUGAAUAUGGGGGGACCAUCCUCCAAGGCUAAAUACUCCUGACUGACCGAUAGUGAACCAGUACCGUGAGGGAAAGGCGAAAAGAACCCCGGCGAGGGGAGUGAAAAAGAACCUGAAACCGUGUACGUACAAGCAGUGGGAGCCUCUUUAUGGGGUGACUGCGUACCUUUUGUAUAAUGGGUCAGCGACUUAUAUUCUGUAGCAAGGUUAACCGUAUAGGGGAGCCGCAGGGAAACCGAGUCUUAACUGGGCGUUAAGUUGCAGGGUAUAGACCCGAAACCCGGUGAUCUAGCCAUGGGCAGGUUGAAGGUUGGGUAACACUAACUGGAGGACCGAACCGACUAAUGUUGAAAAAUUAGCGGAUGACUUGUGGCUGGGGGUGAAAGGCCAAUCAAACCGGGAGAUAGCUGGUUCUCCCCGAAAGCUAUUUAGGUAGCGCCUCGUGAACUCAUCUUCGGGGGUAGAGCACUGUUUCGGCUAGGGGGUCAUCCCGACUUACCAACCCGAUGCAAACUACGAAUACCGAAGAAUGUUAUCACGGGAGACACACGGCGGGUGCUAACGUCCGUCGUGAAGAGGGAAACAACCCAGACCGCCAGCUAAGGUCCCAAAGUCAUGGUUAAGUGGGAAACGAUGUGGGAAGGCACAGACAGCCAGGAUGUUGGCUUAGAAGCAGCCAUCAUUUAAAGAAAGCGUAAUAGCUCACUGGUCGAGUCGGCCUGCGCGGAAGAUGUAACGGGGCUAAACCAUGCACCGAAGCUGCGGCAGCGACACUAUGUGUUGUUGGGUAGGGGAGCGUUCUGUAAGCCGUUGAAGGUGGCCUGUGAGGGUUGCUGGAGGUAUCAGAAGUGCGAAUGCUGACAUAAGUAACGAUAAAGCGGGUGAAAAGCCCGCUCGCCGGAAGACCAAGGGUUCCUGUCCAACGUUAAUCGGGGCAGGGUGAGUCGACCCCUAAGGCGAGGCCGAAAGGCGUAGUCGAUGGGAAACAGGUUAAUAUUCCUGUACUCGGUGUUACUGCGAAGGGGGGACGGAGAAGGCUAUGUUAGCCGGGCGACGGUUGUCCCGGUUUAAGCAUGUAGGCGGAAGUUUAGGUAAAUCCGGUCUUUUUAACGCUGAGGUGUGAUGACGAGGCACUACGGUGCUGAAGUAACAAAUGCCCUGCUUCCAGGAAAAGCCUCUAAGCAUCAGGUAACAACGAAUCGUACCCCAAACCGACACAGGUGGUCAGGUAGAGAAUACCAAGGCGCUUGAGAGAACUCGGGUGAAGGAACUAGGCAAAAUGGUGCCGUAACUUCGGGAGAAGGCACGCUGAUGGUAGGUGAAGCGACUUGCUCGUGGAGCUGAAAUCAGUCGAAGAUACCAGCUGGCUGCAACUGUUUAUUAAAAACACAGCACUGUGCAAACACGAAAGUGGACGUAUACGGUGUGACGCCUGCCCGGUGCCGGAAGGUUAAUUGAUGGGGUUAUCCGUAAGGAGAAGCUCUUGAUCGAAGCCCCGGUAAACGGCGGCCGUAACUAUAACGGUCCUAAGGUAGCGAAAUUCCUUGUCGGGUAAGUUCCGACCUGCACGAAUGGCGUAAUGAUGGCCAGGCUGUCUCCACCCGAGACUCAGUGAAAUUGAACUCGCUGUGAAGAUGCAGUGUACCCGCGGCAAGACGGAAAGACCCCGUGAACCUUUACUAUAGCUUGACACUGAACAUUGAGCCUUGAUGUGUAGGAUAGGUGGGAGGCUUUGAAGUGUGGACGCCAGUCUGCAUGGAGCCAACCUUGAAAUACCACCCUUUAAUGUUUGAUGUUCUAACGUAGACCCGUGAUCCGGGUUGCGGACAGUGUCUGGUGGGUAGUUUGACUGGGGCGGUCUCCUCCCAAAGAGUAACGGAGGAGCACGAAGGUUAGCUAAUCCUGGUCGGACAUCAGGAGGUUAGUGCAAUGGCAUAAGCUAGCUUGACUGCGAGCGUGACGGCGCGAGCAGGUGCGAAAGCAGGUCAUAGUGAUCCGGUGGUUCUGAAUGGAAGGGCCAUCGCUCAACGGAUAAAAGGUACUCCGGGGAUAACAGGCUGAUACCGCCCAAGAGUUCAUAUCGACGGCGGUGUUUGGCACCUCGAUGUCGGCUCAUCACAUCCUGGGGCUGAAGUAGGUCCCAAGGGUAUGGCUGUUCGCCAUUUAAAGUGGUACGCGAGCUGGGUUUAGAACGUCGUGAGACAGUUCGGUCCCUAUCUGCCGUGGGCGCUGGAGAAUUGAGGGGGGCUGCUCCUAGUACGAGAGGACCGGAGUGGACGCAUCACUGGUGUUCGGGUUGUCAUGCCAAUGGCAUUGCCCGGUAGCUAAAUGCGGAAAAGAUAAGUGCUGAAAGCAUCUAAGCACGAAACUUGCCCCGAGAUGAGUUCUCCCUGACUCCUUGAGAGUCCUGAAGGAACGUUAAAGACUAUGACGUUGAUAGGUCGGGUGUGUAAGCGUAGCGAUACGUUGAGCUAACCGAUACUAAUGAACCGUGAGGCUUAACCUUACAACGCCGAAGCUGUU
This 2929-nucleotide ribosomal RNA is filed under the name Klebsiella ornithinolytica. Its description in RNAcentral is "Raoultella ornithinolytica 23S ribosomal RNA". It matches the Rfam family "Bacterial large subunit ribosomal RNA". The record is from RNAcentral. Lineage: Bacteria; Pseudomonadati; Pseudomonadota; Gammaproteobacteria; Enterobacterales; Enterobacteriaceae.